RNAcentral lists this long non-coding RNA (6201 nucleotides) under Homo sapiens (human). RNAcentral describes it as "HSALNT0107230". The record is from RNAcentral. Lineage: Eukaryota; Metazoa; Chordata; Mammalia; Primates; Hominidae.
CUCAACUUCUCAUGCUGGUCCUGUAAUCAGAAAUGCCCUUUCUAGACUCUUAUAUCUUUACCACUAAAUCCUCAUGACAAUCUUGUGAGGAGGUGCUAUUAUUCCCAUUUUGCCAAUGAUUAAAAAAAAUUAGGUAACUUAUUUAGGGUCAUACAGAGUGGCAGACUGGGAUGCUAAUGCAGGUAUCUCUUACUUCAAAGCUCAUGUCCUUUCAUUCCCAUGUUUGGCAUUUUAGAGAUAGAUAGUGCCCAACCCAAGACUUGAAGGACUUAUUUCCCUCAAUGUGUUAUAAGCACCCUGUGGGCAGGUCUGAUUAUUUAUUGACCACUAGAGUCAGUGGCGUGCUUGUAAAGGGUUAACAACUGACUCUCCAAGGGGCAUGGGGGAGGCCCUGAUUUACAGAGGUUUUCUGAGUCCUGUGGAGUAAAUACUCCCAUCUGUCUGAUUCCGAGCUACUAGCAUGACGUAUGUCACUGAACAAGGGGUAGGGAACAGGUGCGCAGUAGCACACGUUAGAGGGUAUUUCCACUACACAGACAUCAUUCAUCUGAGCAGCCUCAAGGGCACAGUUAAUAGUAAAAUGGGAAAUAAUUAAGAAAUGAUGAGUUUGUAUCUUUAUUAACUUCAUUUUAAAUCUGAUUUAUUCAACAGUUAUUUUAUGUAAUUUAAUCUUUAAUAAUCAUUACAUUUAACAAUCAGUUUGCAAAUUUCCUAAAAAUUUAACAAUUAGACUCAUAAACUGGUUUGAACUAGCUCCAGCUCACCACUGCUAGAGUCUAUUAUAAUACUUUGCUUUUAGUAGACACGGAAUGGUGGUAAGGAUGCUAAUAAAAAGAACAUGAUUCUCCACUUAUGAGCUUUGAAUGCAACUGGUAACCCAGAUUUCAAUAUUCUUUCCUACAUCUGAGACUUUCUUAGUUCUAUCUCUCACACUUAACAGAAGGCCAAACAAAAAAUAGUUGAGGGUGGAUACCAAAGAAUAGCCAAAGCUCCAACUAAGGACUGUGAAUACUGAACUCUGCCCAGGGUCAGGGUGGGGCCCGAUGCCUGCUUGCAGUUGAAAACAGUCCUCUACAAUUGGGCUUGAGCAAGCCUCUGAGCUAUAACUGUCUUUCCUCCUCGCCUCUUCCUGACCACACCCACAACAAGAGAAGCACUGAAGAAAAAGCACCAGUCAUAAUAUUCUAUUACAUUCCAGAAAGGACAACCUCCCAGGAAGUGGGGAGCCUAGAAAGAAGUAAAACCUAAAUUGCAUCCUCCCAAAGGAGGCGAAGUCCUGAACUUCAGCUAUCUUAACCUUUUGUUAUGGGUGCAGUGCUGAUCUUAAUGGAAACUGGAGUGGGCAGGCACAGCUUAGGGAGAGAGGGACAGCUGGUGAAUCAGCUGUGUUGCAUUACAGUCAGCACUAUCCCUGUCAUGGUUCAGGGAUUAUACCAUAUAUGGACUCAGGCUCAGGACAGGCGAGCCCACUGAUUUGCUUCAGGACUCCCCUAGAAUUGCAUCUUGGGAUUAGGUCAUCAUUACUAGAAAAGGGAGACCCCAGAGAGGUUGUCAGUAUGAAGAAAUCAGGACCAACUGUGGUCUGGACCAGCUUGAAGUGUUUCAGGACACUUCUCUCUGUGUGUGCCUCUUGAUUUUGUUCAGAAGCCCAGUACUAUGGAAUACUCUAUCGCAGUGAUAAUUAACUACUCGAUAUGCAAAACACAGACAAAUCUCACAAACAUAAUGUGGAGCAAAAGAAGCCAGAAACAGAAGAGUACUGUGAAAUCCCAUUUAUGUCAAGCUCAAAACCAGGUACUGGACCUCCAUAGGUGUCCCAGAGGCUCCCAUGGAAGGAUUUGCAAAUCAGGUUCCAAGAGCUUAAAAAGCCAGGCUUAGUAGUGGAGAGGCACCAGAUGAACUCUUGAUAGCCCAGGCAAGAACUGGGCACCAGCAGCAUUACUUGAUGGUGUCAAAGAGGUAGAGGACCAAAUGCCAGGAUGCAGAGGGAGCCAUGGUGCCUGGACACAGAGACUUUGCCACAGCUAUCAAGUUUGCAAAAUGAAAACAAAGGGAGAGAUUAAUGAGACUCCACCUAGAAGCAGCCACUCCUGGACAGGCUGCCCUUCCUAGAUGGCUUCAGAUGGCUGCCAGGGAACAUCUGCCUGGUUAAGAUUUCAAGUGAAGACCUAAUCGAAGCAGCCCUUUGGCAGGCUUUGCACUGGCCGGCCUGACUCUGACAUACGCUCCGAUGCCCACACAUGGUUGUGGCUGGCAGCUCAGACAGACACGACUGUUUUGGCUUCUGUCAUUUCUUUUUCUUCCUCCAGGCGCUCAAGUUCUUGAUCCCAGCUCGCCUGAUUAGGGGUCGUCAUCAGUCCGCGCACCCUGCCUGUACUUCCUGGGGCCCCCUGGUGGAUGAUCAAAGGAUAAAGGGAUAGUUGGAGGCAGGAAAGAGAGAGUUGGGGAUGAUAGUGCAGUGGACUGUGUGGAUCUUUCCCCAUAGGCUUCUAAGAAGUCUUUUGUGAAUAUCUCUCUCGUCCCCCACUGGGUGAAUGAUUUACUAUGACUAAAGGGGCCACACACACAACAGCUCUCACCCUGGAAUGGACUUUGAGAGGGAAGCAAAAGGAAGCAUUGCCUUCUUUCCUGGACUUCCCUUUGGAGCACCCCACAACUCUCAGGGGAUUUAGAAGGUAACACAUUUAGAGCUUUCCCAAAAGAAUGUGCAGCUGUGGCUUGAGCAAAAGGUGUUUACUCCCACGGAGGUGGGAUUUUUAUUGCUAGUUUCAACAUCAAGUAGGUGUGAAAGUUAUAUACAAAUCCUGACAAUCAAUACCACCUGAGAAAGGCGAGAAAGAGGGCUGCAUGGGCCAAUGCUUCACAAACUUAAGGUGCACAGCUUGGAAGCAUUGAAUUGUGGGGGGUGGGGAUCUUGUAAAGUGAAGAUUCUGAAUGAGUAGGUGUGGGGUAUGGCCCACAGUCUGUGUUUCCAACAUGCUUCUGCCACAGGAAGACUGCUCUGGACUAAGAAAUAGUCCUGUGCAUUUCUUAGCACCAACGCUCACCUCCCCCCACCAAAAACAUGAAAUAAAACAAAACAGGGACAUUGCAUUUCCUGGAAGUGUCUUACAUGACACCAAUUAAAACUAUCUUUUUUUCUUGCUCAUAAAUAUAUUCUUUUUCCUUUUUUUUGAGACGGAGUCUCUCUUUUUUGCCCAGGCUGGAGUGCAGUGGUGUGAUCUCAGCUCACUGCAACCUCCGCCUUCCAGGUUCAAGCAAUUCUCCUGCCUCAGCCUCCUGAGUAGCUGGGAUUACAGGAGUGUGCCACCACACUCGGCUAAUUUUUUGUAUUUUUAGUAGAGAUGGGGUUUCACUAUGUUGGCCAGACUGGUCUUGAACUCUUGACCUCAAGUGAUCCACCUGCCUCGGCCUCCCAAAGUGCUAAGAUUAUAGGCGUGAGCCACUGUGUCUAGCCUAGAAAUGUAUUCUUUUUUUUUUUUUUGAGAUGGAGUUUCGCUCUGUCGCCCUGGCUGGAGUGCAGUGGUGCCAUCUCGGCUCACUGCAACCUCUGCCUCCUGGGUUCAAGUGAUUCUCCUGCCUCAGCCUCCCGAGUAGCUGGGACUACAGGCGUGCACCACUACACCCAGCUAAUUUUUGUAUUUUUAGUAGAGAUGGGGUUUCUCCCAGCUAAUUUUUGUAUUUUUAGUAAAGAUGGAGUUUCACCAUGUUGGUUGGCCAGGAUGGUCUCGAUCUCUUGACCUCGUGAUCCACCCGCCUCAGCCUCCCAAAGUGCUGGGAUUACAGACAUGAGCCACCGCGCCCAGCCAAAACUUAUUCUAAAAGGUUUGACUGAUGUACAUAAAAAUCACUGGAAAACAUAGUUAUAGGUAAAUUUUAUUAUUUCUUUGUGUUUUUCUACAUUUCCCAAACUUUCUACAAAUGAACCUAUAUUGUUUUUAUUUUUCUCGAAGGCUAAGUUUGAAACAUCUUGUGUUGUUUCAAGACCUUUCUUUUCCCCCGGUGCUAGCUAGACCAGAAUGGAUUGUUUAACAUCUCAGGGCAGAUGUCUGAACCUUUGCAGGUGUUGGGAGACUCAGAAUCUUCUGGUGUUGAGGAGACCAAGCUUGGUCAGGUCGGGACCAUGUUGAAUCACUGUUUAACACUGAAGGAAGGCCAGGGAAGGCCUGUGAGGGACACGCAGUCUCUGCCUCCUGAGGUCAUGCUGAUCGCUUGCUGGCCCAAGUCUAAUUUAUUUUAGUUUCUAUGUCUGUGAACAAGGCCAAUGUGCAUGAAUGAUGGUCUGGCAUCUCGAUCCAUGUUUACAAAUCAAUGAGCAGACCACCUAAAUCAGUGAACUGUGCAUUUUAUAGAUGAGAAAAGGCAAGUUGGGGGAAAGAGACUGGAGAGGGUGGUGGUAAUUAUAGAAAUGAGACUUUCAUAACUCAAGUUUCCAUCCCAUGGCGUUUUCUUUAAAUAAGGGAUUCCCAAUCUUCAGAAGCACUAGUGCAGUAUAACUUUGGAUAAACACAGUUCUGUCUUAUCAGCACAUUGUUUUGUAUUCAAUAGGUACUCAAUGUUUAAUAUGUUAUAAAAUAUAAUUUUUGAAUACAUUUUUUUUCUGUGAUGGUCGGAGCACACAGCACAGAGCAAUUUUAGGAAAUUGCCAUGCUUUCCAAUAGUAGCUAUAAGCUUUGUGUAUCCAGUCACCCAGGACCUAUUUGUUAGAUAGGAUAAAAGAACAUUGAAGUGACAAGAUUUGACAGAAAAUCUAGGCAAUACCAUUCAGGACAUAGGCAUGGGCAAAGACUUCAUGACUAAAACACCAAAAGCAAUUGCAACAAAAGCAAAAAUUGACAAAUGGGAUCUAAUUAAACUAAAGAGCUUCUGCUCAGCAAAAGAAACUAUCAGAGUAAACAGGGAACCUACAAAAUAGGAGAAAAUAUUUGCAAUCUGACCAAGGUCUAGUACCCAGAAUCUACAAGGAACUUAAACAAAUUUACAGGAAAAAAACAAGCAAGCCCAUCAAAAAGUGGGCGAAGGAUAUGAACAGAUACUUUUCAAAGGAAGAAAUUUAUGCAGCCAACAAAUAUAUAAAGAAAAACUCAUCAUCACUGGUCAUUAGAGAAAUGCAAAUCAAAACAACAAUGAGAUAUCAUCUCGUGCCAGAUAGAAUGGCGAUCAUUAAAAAGUCUGGAAACAAUAGAUGCUGGUGAGGCUGUGGAGAAAUAGGAACACUUUUACACUGUUGGUGGGAGUGUAAAUUAGUUCACCCAUUGUGGAAGACAGCGUGGCAAUUCCUCAAGGAUCUAGGACCAGAAAUACCAUUUGACCCAGCAAUCUCAUUACUGGGUAUAUACCCAAAGGAUUAAAAAUCAUUCUACUAUAAAGACACAUGCACACGUAAUGUUUAUUGCAGCACUAUUUACAAUAGCAAAGACUUGGAACCAACCCAAAUGCCCAUCAAUGAUAGACUGGAUAAAGAAAAUGUGGCACAUACAUACCAUGGAAUACUAUGCAGCCGUAAGAAAGAAUGAGUUCAUGUCCUUUGCAGGGACAUGGAUGAAGCUGGAAACCGUCAUCCUCAGCAAACUAACACAGGAACGGAAAACCAAACACCACGUGUUCUCACUCAUAAGUGAGAGUUGAACAAUGAGAACACAUGGACACAGGGAGGGGAACAUCACACACCGGGGUCUGUUGGGGAGCGGUGGACAAGGGGAGAGAGAGCAUUAGGACAAAUACCUAAUGCAUGCUGGGCUUAAAACCUGGAUUAUGGGUUGAUAGGUGCAGCAAACCACCACGGCACAUGUAUACCUAGGUGACAAAGCUGCACGUUCAGCACAUGUAUCCCAGAACUUAAAGUAAAAUUAAAAAAAAAAAAAAAAGAACAUUGAAGUGACAAGAUUUGGGAGGACUGAAACAAAACAGACUACAAGGAACAGGAGAAAAGGGACAAUUGUAAGAGUGGUAAUAUUCUUUUAUAUUUAUGCACGUAAGAUGGCUGUACUGGUUUCAAGCAUCUGACUUUUAAUAUUUGAAGAAAUAAAAUUCUUGCUUAGGUCCUUCCACCCGCUGUUCAAGAUUGAAGAUUGACCUUCUGUUACCAUCUUAGCUGAUCUGUCUGCUGCUGCCUUUUUGCUUGUCCUACUCAGUUUUAAGUAAUUUUCAUCCUUCAUGCUCUGGGCUGCAAAAAUAAAUAUAAGCAACAUUUGCUGUCUU